RNAcentral lists this long non-coding RNA (10542 nucleotides) under Lynx pardinus (Iberian lynx). The record is from RNAcentral. Lineage: Eukaryota; Metazoa; Chordata; Mammalia; Carnivora; Felidae.
UCUACACCUGGAGAGUAGAAGGCAUCUUUAUCACCAGAGAGAGAGAAUUCAGGACUGAGAAAACUGUAUAAACAAACCUUGUUACUUCUUCAUUAAUUUGCUACCCCAAGUCCAAACUUUUGUCUUGUUAACUCUUCAUAAAUUUCUUCGAAAAGGUAUAACAAGCUGCCGACUUUGGUCACUUCUUUGAAUCCAAUAUUUCUAUGAGCUCCCAUACAUGCAAAAUUAAAAUCUUUUUCUCCUGUUAAUCUGUCUUGUUUAAUUAUUUGACCAGCCAAAGAACCUAGCAGGAAAAAAAGGAAAGUUUUCCUCCCCUACACUGCUGUAAUAGUCCAGAGGUGACAAAGGCUUGAGCACCCACAGUGCUGGCAGGAAUAGAAAGAGAUUCAAGCAACAGACCCUGCCCUCUGACAGGACGGGGUAGACAUGGCAGAAGUCAAAGGUAAGUCUAAGUUUGUACUCAGGUGACUGGGGAAAAGUGGUAACCUUACCAGAAACAGCAACACAGGAGGAGGAGCCUGCUUUCAAAGGAAAGGUGAAUUUGAUUUUAGAUUUAUAGCCUGGUUGUCAGCCAAGGGAUUUACCCAACAGACAGUUAAUUCAGGAUUGGCAAGAGGUCUGGGCUGCAGACAGAUUUAGGAGUCAUGCGUGUAAUUAGUAAUCAGAGCCAUGAGACUGGAUAAAACUCACCAGAGUGUGAAACUGCAGAGAGGGAAUUAAAAGGAAAAUGUAGAAGAGGAGGAGAGAGAUGGAACGAGAAGAAAAUAAGAAGGAAGGAGAAAGGAAGGAAUGAGUCAAGGACAGCUCAGGGAAGGAGUAGGGGCUGAGGGUAGGAGUAGGGGCAGGAAGCACUAACCGCCUUGAAACUAAGGGUGGAGUGAUGCAGCUCUGUGCACACAGUCAUAGCAGGAGCACCCCCUCAGACACAGCCCAGCUUGCCAGAGGGAAGCGGUUACCACUAGCAAGAUUCUAAAGGCCCUGAGAAGUCCCUUACUUUAUGCCCCCCCACCCCACUCCCAUACACACCUACUUUAAAACCCUUUCCUCUAUUGGCCUGAAACCACACAAUCAUAUUAACCCUGGCUUGGAUGAAGACGCUCCAAACUGUACAAAGCCUCUUGUUAAUGUGCCCCCAAAUCUAGGGGUGCUCAGUGGCCGGAUGGAGCCUGGAGCCCUCUUGGCUCUCACUGUCCCUUGCUCUUACCACACCCGUAAGGCUACCACAAUAGCAACUGGCCAUUCUGACCCAGGUUCCCCUGGUGCCCAAAUACCCCACCUCACCCAUUGGUCGGAGCCCGCCAAGGCGGGGCGCCUAGUGCCCAGGCGGGAUCAAUGCGUGCCCAGAAACAUUUCUGCUCAGUUCAACUGACACUUGCCGCUGCCACGAGGAUCCACGAACAGUCUGCUCUUUCGGAGAAAGUCCAAGGGAAUGCAGUCCGUCCCUCCCACCACACCAGCUUGGGGAGGAGGAUCCUUGAGGCUAGGACACCGACCCCAUGUGGGGAGGGGAGGCAACCAGGCAUGUGGAGACCCAUGUGCACCCACGUGCACAGGUGCCCUACGCAGAAACCAUGGCUGUUGGGCACACACGGCCGGCGCCAUUGACCUGACCGGGUGGCGCCGCCUCCCCUACUUGCUAUGCCAGCUCUGGGCCAAGCAGUGGCCCGCUCUCAGGGACCAGACGGUGGCGGUGAGGCCCAGUGGCGGCCACUCCUCGGAGCUGCCCCCAGGACAUCCUUGUGAAGAGCACCCCUGACCUGUCUUUGAGGUCUGUCACCACAAGGAGAAAAGGGUGACAUUUAUCCUUGUGCAAAGAGAGUUUAAGUUAAAUAUGUUCAGGCCAUUCGGACUGUUUUCUGCAGUACAUUCAGUAUCUCUUGGGAAGCAUCUUGGUAGGAAACAGAAACUGAAAAUUGUACAUGACAGGAGCCAAAGGAAUACAUUGCAUAAAGAAAAGUGCCUCAAAUAGCUUCAGAUGUUUCUUGAACCCCUUUGUUGAACUUUCAGAAACUCAGAGUAAAUAUUAUGCAAUUCAUUUGUGUUUUAAUGAUGCAAAUGCCAACGAAUGUAUAUUCUGCUUUCAGGAAAUGGAUUUUUCUUCAUCUAGUGCCUGCUCAAUGCAGGUAAAAGGAGUUUAAUUGAAACAGAUACCCGGUUUCCCAAGUGUAGGAAAGGUGUAUCUCCUUCCUUGAGAUUGAGCAAGGAGAAAACCUUGGCAGUGUUCAUUUGAGGAUCUUCUCACCAGCAGCCUGGCUUCCCUGAGAAUACUGGACAAAGUAUUUCACUAUUGCAGAAGGGCUGUCCUAAUUUCCGGUGUAUUCGUUUAGUAUGCUCUGUACAGAACAAGGUGGUGGGCUGGACCUAGGAAAUCAAUAAAGAAGAACCUGGAAGGAAUAGCCUGAAGAGCUGGAGCUGCCCAGGAAGGUGAGGUGUGUGCUGGUUGAGCUAAUUUGUCACUUAAAUGGUGAGUUUUGUUGUCGCUCAGGACUUUGAAUGAACCACGUGACAGAUCUGUAUGCUUUACCACCUUCAAGGGCCAGUUUCCAGAUUACAUUCACCCUCUUCCCAUACCAACAGGUAUUGAACUUAGAUAACAAAAUUCUGAUCUUUGUAUAGAAAGAUCACCAGAAAAGAAACCUCAAAUGAUUGCCACCUACAAAAUGUGACAUGCAGAGAGUAUCAUCAGCUGGAAGUUUGCAAAUUUGUUACGCCUGUUUUGUUUACAUGUAAUGACCCCACUGAACUAAGCUAAGGUGAAUAACAGUGAAAAAGGCCGUCUGUGAUUGACUUUUCUUAUCAUGCCCCUUUGUAUGUAUAAAGGUAUAAAGGGAAGAUUUAAAACCCAGAAAAUGUCUAUUAAAACUGUACUAUGGAGACAUCAUCUUAUGCUUUUGGUUUCUAAUGAGCAGACAAGUACUGAAAAAUUUCAGAAAAUUCUAUUCUGUGCAAUAAAUACAAAUUUACUUUUUAGAUAAAUUUUGACCCUACCAAAUAUUAGUGAAUUCCAAUUGUCCAUCUUGUAAAUCUUCCCUAAUUUAGAUAAAAGAUUGGUAAAGGAAGAAUUUGAUAGUCCAAAUAUAAAUUGUUUUACUUGUGUGUUUAGCUUUUCGCUCCUAAUUUCAUAUGAAUCCUUCAGUUUCCAUAUCCCUCCAGUGACUACUUGCUUUUUAAGACUACGUACGUUUUUGGUUCUUUGGAAACUAAAAAGAUGAGCUUUUUUUAAACUUAAAAUAACAUUAUGCUAAUUUGACUUUGCUUUUACUCUAUUUUACUUCUUAUGGGAAAAAAACUAACUGAAAUUUUAAAUUUGCAAACAAGCUCACAUGAGAAAAGGAAAAAUCACAAGAUUUUAUGAGGCUUUUCCUUUGUUUUAUAUACUAUUUUUUAAACAGGCUCUACACAUUUUUUAAUAAUCAUCAUGGGUAAAUAGGAUGUGCCUACAGAGUAUUCUCUGCCCUUGGUAAUUUUUUCCUUUGUUUCAAUUUUGAUAAAGGUCUACUCUUACUUAAACUCAAUAAUUUUUGUUUCUGAAGUGGUUGCAGUUUGCUCAUGCUAAUAAGAACCUCAUAUAACUUGAUACUAACGUCAAAAGAUAUAAAAUAAAAGAUCAGGGUUGCCAGGGUGGCUCAGCUGGUUGAGCAUCUGAUGUGGUUCCAGCUCAGAUUAUGAUCCCAGAGUUUGGGGUUGGCCUCCAAGCUGAGCAUGGAGCCUGCUUAAAUUACUCUCUCUCUCUCUGUCCCUCUGCCCCUCUCCCUCCUGCUCAUGCUCUAUCUAAAAUAAAAAACUAAAGGGCACCUGAGUGGCUCAGUCAGUUAAGCAGGUCAUGAUCUCACAGUUCAUGGGUUUGAGCCCCCCCAUCGGGCUCUGUGCUGACAGCUCAGAGCCUGGAGCCUGCUUCAGAUUCUUUCUCUCUGCCCCUUCCCCACUUGUGCUCUGUCUCUCUCUGUCUCUCAAAAAUAAAUAAAUAUUGAAAAAAAAAUUUUAAUAAAAAAUUAAAUAGAAGAUAAAACAUAGAAGAGAAUUUUUAAAUAAAUACAUUUGUCAUUAUUUGAACAUAUUGAUUCCCUAAGUUUACUGCUAUAUAAUUUCUUUUUAGCUAGAGUAGGUAUUGUGUACAUUUAAUCUCUGCUUUAUAGUAUGUCAAAGAAUUAGGAAUCCUUUUAAUUUUUCCACAAAAAUGAUGAAUCUGUUUUUAAAGAGAGAAAAUAAGCUUAUGGAAGUUAAAUAAUUUUUUAGAAAUAGAUGAAAUGUUUAAAAGAAGAAAUUUUACUGCUAAUUAAUUACAGUGAGUUGUUUUAAAAGUUUUUACUGCUUUUAAAUCAUAUUCCUUGUCUUCUGAAUGUUUUGCAUAAAUUUGGGGCUCAAGAACAAAAGUUGAUUUUCUGAAUGACUUAAACACUAGGCAGGUCAUUAGUAUAAACAUCUCUACCUCAAAUGUAUAAAAAAUUGGGGCAACUCUUAAAUAUUCAUAUUUCAUAUUUGCAAAAUUUUUCAUAUUUACACAUUUUUAAAAUAUCAUGCAAUCUCUAGUUAAAUGUAUUAGCAGUUAUGUUCCUGGGGUUUCAACAAAAAACAUGGUAUUUCAAUAAAAUCAAUAUAGAAUUUUUUCAAUUGUAGUUGGUACUUCCAUGAUGAUUUUGUAAAGAAAAUGAAAGCCUACAUCAUAACAUUUCUAUUCUUAGGAAAAAUGGGAGAAGGGAAAGAGUUUGUUAUUUGCUUGCUAUUUGUAGAGUUUCUUACUUAAGAUGCUAUGGCUAAAAUAAUUUUAUUGAGCGUUUAACAAUUAGUCUGUCUUAAAUACUGGAGUAAUCAAUGAUAAUCCAUUGUGACUAAAAAGCAAAUACUUGUUUAUUUUAAUAUACAAGUUGACAGUUUGAUGGACUUUCUAAGGCUAUAAGUUAUCAAAGAAUCAUGAAUUCAGUCAGUAAAAUGUUAGAUAAAGCAGUCACCUCCUAAGAUGAUUUUUGGAGAUGAAUGUGAAGAAACUAUGGAAAUAAUUACAUAAAACCUGUGGAAAUGUUUGCCAUCAUUAACUUCAACACACUAAUGUUUAGCCUCAUUCUGUUCAUUGGAUUUUUUUCCCUACGUGUGUGCCAAUGAAGAUUGGUUUGUAUUUACUACUAAAAUAGAUACACAUAUGUUAAGGUGAGAAUGGCCAAAUAAUUGGAGCCCGUAUACUUAUAGGUUAAGUUCAAAAGGCAUUAAUACAUAAUAUUUUUAGUAUCCAAAGCAUAUUCAAAAACUGUCUAGUAUGGAGUAUUCUAACAUAAAUGUUCAAAUACCAAACUAUAAAAUAUAAAACUUCUUUUUAUCCAAUUUUUAUAUAUACAAAUAAGCUGAUUUUACAAAUGGUGUUGCCAUGUACCCAUUCAACUCAAUAAGUCCUUUUUAAUUUCCCCCUCGUUCCCUUUCACCUUUGGCUUUUGGGGUGCUCUUUCUUCUACAUCCAUCAUUUUCAACAAUGGGGUAGGUCUUAUGGGUUAUAGGAAGGGUGAAAAGGGUGACAGGCUAAGCAAGAGUUUGAAACUAGGGAGACAGUUUACAUACUAUGCAGGUUGUCAGGAGUUUUUGUUGCAACUAUAACAAGGAAAACAACAACAAAUAUAAUAAUUACCAAUAUUUGCAUGUCACUUCCUGUCUACAGAGCAUUUUCAUAUGCUCUACUUACCUGAAGCCUCAGAGCAACCUUACAAGUUUGCUUUGAGGUACUUAAUAAGAUCUUGCUUUGUUGUUUUUACUGAAUCAUUAUAUGCAACUGUCAGUUUCUUGAGGGCACGAACUGUGUCUUGUAUGUUUUGAACAUACACACACAUUUAAACCCCUCAGAAAUAAACAUUCUUAAACUGACUACUGAGUUGUUAACAAGUUUCAAGUGGAAGAUUUGCUGGAUUUGAUGAUAAAAGGGCUAUUAAGACUGUAAGGAGACCAAGGACACCAUCAAAGAGGACCGUAAGGAAAGCAGUGGCCAAGGGUCCAAAGUAAGCAGGUUGAACAGGGAAAGAAGACUCUAGGAAUUCCCCUUGUCAGGGUUAAUCCUGGGCCAGACCACUUCACAUCCUGUAUAUAGAAAUCCUUUUUUUUUUUAAUUUGAGAGAAAGAGAGAGAGUGCAUGGGAGGGGCAGAGAGGGAGAGAGACAGAGAUUGAAUCUUUUUUUUUUUUUUUUUUUUUUCAACGUUUAUUUAUUUUUGGGACAGCGAGAGACAGAGCAUGAACAGGGGAGGGGCAGAGAGAGAGGGAGACACAGAAUCGGAAACAGGCUCCAGGCUCCGAGCCAUCAGCCCAGAGCCUGACGCGGGGCUCGAACUCACGGACCGCGAGAUCGUGACCUGGCUGAAGUCGGACGCUUAACCGACUGCGCCACCCAGGCGCCCCCAGAGAUUGAAUCUUAAGCAGCCUCUACACUCAGCCCAAAGCCUGACAUGGGGCUUGAUCCCACAACCCUGAGAUCAUUACCUGAGCUGAAAUCAAGAGUCCAACACUCAACCACUGAGCCAACCUGGUGUCCCAAAUUCUUCAUUAUUUUUAAUGGCUAAAUUGUUCUCUGUGGUAUCUAGAUAUCAUAGACAGCUAUUUUUUCCAUUGAAGUGCCUUUGUCCUAAAUUUUUAGUAGUACAAGCAAUGCAAAUUUAUAAGCAUAAAGUUGAACAUAAUGGUUAUAUCCAGUUUUUUUUUUUUAACUUUUUAUUUUUAAGAGAGAGCAUGAGAGGGGGAGGAGGGCAGAAGGAGAGACAAUCUCAAGUAGGCUCCAUGGUCAGCACAGAGCCCAGCAUGGGGCUCAAUCCCAUGACCCUGGGAUCAUGACCUGAGCUGAAAUCAAGAGUUGGGCACUCAACUGACUGAGCGACCCAGGCACCCCAUAUAAUAGAUAUAUCCUCGUUCUUAUUCCUAAUUUUGUUUAUUUGAAUUUUCUCUUUUUUUAAAACAGAUUUAUUAGCUAGUGAAAUUGUUAGAUUUUCAAAAAAAUUUUUUAGUUUUAUCUACUCUCUCUUUUUCUAAAUUUUUUUUCUGCUUUUGUUAUUUUUAUAUACCUAUGUUUACUUUCUCUUGACUUAUUUUUCUUUUUCUAUUUUGUUGAGUUGAAAAUUUAGUUCUUUUAUUUUUAUUCACUCUAGGUUAAAAAUAAAAACAUUUGAUGUUAUGAAAUUUCCCCCUUAAUGUAGUCUUAGUUGCAUCUCAUAGAUCUACAACCUUUUCAUUGCCAUUUGUUAUUAUAAGUCUAUAUUUUCUGUUUUUAUUCCUUCUUUGAACCUAAAUGUUUAGAAUUUAAAAUUUAUCUGUGGCUAGAUGUCUUUUAUCUUUUAUCAUUAAUUUCCAUUUUGAUAGCAUUGUAAUUAAAAAAUGGUGGUUUAAAGGGAAAAUAAGUAGAAAAGAAAUUAGGAACAAACUUGGGGUGGGGGGAAGAUAAGCGUGAGACAUAGCAUUAAUGAGCAGAGGAGAAUAAAACAAAGCAUAAAUAAGAAGAGGAAGUAUAAAAGGGCCCAAGACAAAGCAGAGGACUGAGUGUGAGAGUUACUGGCAUGGCAGUAGGUUUGGAUUGUUGAAUAGGGUACAUGAUGCAAGAUAGUGUUAGGAGACCAGGAAGAUAUUGGGAGGGAGUAUAUGGGAAGAGAUGCCCAGGAAAGACAGUCUGCCAAGAAAAUCCAACUGCUCCUUGGUUGUGAUGGUGCAUGGAAGCCCAGCAAGAAAUGUCUUACCUGUUGCAUUCUGAUGGUUUAAGUGUUAGGAUAAUAACCAUUUUCCAGCAUCAUCCCUUGAUCUUUGAGCUUCUUGCGUGAAUUUAAUUAUUUCUGUAUCUUCUGUUAAAAUGGAGGAAUGGACUUCAACACAGAAAAUGAGCCAGGAACCCAAACUGAGGAUCCCAUCCUGCUUGUGUUAUUUUCUUCAUUUGAGUCAUUUUUGAGUUCCUAUUAUGACCACUACUGUGCCAUAUGAUAAACACAAAAGUUCAUCAGCUUCUAAACAUCUGCCUUGUUUUUAGCCCAUGUGUGUAUACCACUUCUUUUUGCUGAACAGAAAGCAGCUGUUCCCGUUUGAGAGUGACUGACCGAGGUAGCAAUUACUUCCAAGCCAGAAGAAAAUUCCAUAUUCUCAUUAUCUACCUACAGUACCACAGUCACCAGGGGAGCAGGAGAGGAAAUGGGUUCCCUGAGCCACUCCCUAAUUAUUUCUUUUGUUGAGGGGUUUCAUUAAUGAAGCUACCCAGAAAUGUCAUAGCCUUCACAAGUCCCUAGGGAGGCCUGAUAUUUAGUAGUGAUCUGUAAAUGAGGAUUAUAAUAGUUCUUGCCUCAUUAAUUUGGUCUGAGGUUUAAAUGUGCUAAUACUUAGAACAGUGCCUAACACAUAUUCAGCACUCAAUAAAAACUCUUAUUGUUAUUCCAGAAUGCAGGUGCCCUCACCACUGCAGUCAUGGAGUGCGGUCCUGCAGAGAGAAUGAAGCUACCAAAGAGAACACAGAUACAGGAUGCUCAAAUUAAACAAAACCACAGCAUCACAAAAUCUUUUUCAUUAGAAAGUUAAAGAGACAUCCAGAAAGCUGCAAAGCAAAUUGGAGAGAUGCCAAGAAUUCAGUAGAAAUCACUGAUAGAGAUUUCAUACUUAAUGACUUUUCUUUGAGCAAGUGCAAAAGCAAAAAGCAAAAGAACUGUGAUGAACACUGUGAGCCGUUAAGUAUAGUAGGACGUAUGGUAGGACUCAUAGCAGGACAAAAACAACAUAGGUCAUACAGAAGAGGGUCUGGAAAAAAUACAGAUUAUUCUCAGCCACACUGCAUAGGCUUAUCAUUAGAAGGAAGAACAAGAAAUCAAUAGCAGACCCACUCUAAAAUCUUAACUAUAAAGAUCUCAUUAUAGUAUGGAUUUAGUCAUUCAUUAAAAAAAAAAAUCUUUAUAAUGUCAUAACUGAACAAGGCGUGGUGCUAGACAUUGGAGACAUAUAGUUAACAAGACAAAUAUAGACCCUGCCCACAUGGAGUUUAUGAUCCAAUGGAAGAGUUGACAUUAAGUAAACACACAAAUGUCAUCUCAAUCUUUGAUAAGUGCUCCAAAGGAAUACAAAGUGGUCAGUGAAGAUAUUGAGGGCUUUUAGAUUUGAGGGUCAGACAGCUUUCUGAGAGAGCAACAGUAAUGACAUUCCUUAAAGGAUAAGGAGGCAUUACUGGGGAAAGAACAGCAGCUGAUGGUGCUGGGGAAUAGCACACUUGAAGGCUCUGGGGUGGAAAAUGAGGGGUGUGGUCCAAGAGCUGGGAUGUCUGUGCAAGGAGCAUCGUCAGUGGGAUGGAGAGUCUACAUGGGGCAAGGCCAGACCCCCAGACUGUGUGGGCCAUAUUAGCAUCUUGUUUUUUGCCCCCAAAUACAGGGCAAGUCACUGAAGGGCUUUAGGCACACACAAUUGACAUUGAUGUAUUUAUGUUUAUGUUUUAAUGGGUCAAUCCAGUUGCAUUGUGGAACACAAGUUUGGGGGACUUGAACGGAAAAGGGAAGUCCAUUUGGGAAGUGUUUGACCUGGUCAUUAGAGUAAAGGCUGUGGUGGGCACAACCAAAUAUAAAGAGUCCUGUGUCAGGCCCUAGAAGUCUCAUAUCUCUCUAGGUGCUCUGUAUGCUACAAAGUGGCCCCCAAAUCAUAGGAGUCCAUAUGAAGUAGAAAUCCUCAAGCAGUAAAACUUUUAUUUGGAUUAAAUUUAGCCAAAUGAAAAGAUGUCAAGAAUAACAGAAGUUUGUGAAAAGAAUGGGUUUGUGAAAAGAAUGGGUUUGACCCACUGAAAUAAGCAGCUGGGAAUGUGAGCUGUGAAAUGAUUGUGCUGAUGUGCUGGCAUUUGAAGAGUUUGCCUGGAUGCAAGACAAUUGAGCAAUAGAGGAGUUAGAUGAAGAUCAAAUUACUGUACAGAUUUUAUUAAAAGCAAAGUUGGAGAUUUGGCUUAGGUCUAUUGGCAAGCAGAGUUGCAAAUGUUUCAGCCCUGAAUUUAACCAUUCCCAAUAGAUUGUAGUAGGCUGUGUGAUCGCAGGAGGCAAUACAGGAUGGAGCCUGUUUUGAGGGUUUUUGUUUUUAUUGGUUCCUUCCUCUGUAAAUAUUGAAAAUUGUAUUUUACAAUGGUACUGGAACAAACAUACAACCCAGUCUCAUUUAUAUUCAUUUUUUUCUUCUGAUUUUAAAAGAAAAACAUUUUCAUGGACCCCUAAACUGGGAGGGAUAUGUCAGCAGCCCACCAGAGGUCAGAAUUCAGGAAUUGCAGGUAGAUGGGUCCUGAGAUAGAAGAGGGGGACUUAAGCUGGGAAGUGCCAAUAACAGAUAGUGUCACUCUCACAGGGUCCACCCAAUGGAACCUGUUUGUCCCUCCAACAAAGUAUACUAGGAUCCAAAUAAAUGUUCUGGUUCUGGGUGACUGGAUUUGCAUACUGACAGAUUUCCUGAUCCCAUGGAUCUGAGUACCAAGCAGCACUAAGAAAUGCAGUCUGGUAACCAAAAGUAAUGUUAAUAUGUCUCCCAAACUUUGUGUCUCUUGAAGAAUGUUAAUUGAAAUCUGUGACUUGGGGAGUGGCUUCUGG